Long non-coding RNA from Dreissena polymorpha, 448 nucleotides. RefSeq lists it as uncharacterized. The record is from RefSeq and is a predicted model, not a curated record. The transcript is spliced from 3 exons. NCBI's taxonomy places the organism in Eukaryota, Metazoa, Mollusca, Bivalvia, Myida, Dreissenidae.
GGCAAUUAUGAUGAUUGCUCGUCAUGGCCUGGCUGUGAUAGAAGCUGUGGGGGAGGCUCCAGGUGCAGGGUUUGCGAAUCGUGUUUCUGGAAAAUCGACAAAACUUUCUGCGAAAACUGCAAUACCUUUUGUUUUAAUGGUGGCUCGUUCGUGAAUGGCGCAUGCACGUGCACGUCUUGGCGAUCAGGAGUUUGCUGCGAGCAAUGCAAGCAUGUUACCAUCGCAAACUGUCUACCCGGAAGGCAGGAAUGCGGUGGUUCCCCAGAUGGAAUCAGGUGCACACAGUGUGAAAACGGCUACACAUCGGGUGGCUACGGAAAAGGCUGUAUAGAUAUCAAUGAAUGUUCAUCGUACCCCUGCAGAAAUGGCGCCACAUGCACUAACCUUUUGAACCAAUUUUCAUGUAGAUGUACGCCAGGCUACACGGGACCUACUUGUGCGUCAGGUA